RNAcentral lists this ribosomal RNA (253 nucleotides) under uncultured bacterium. Its description in RNAcentral is "partial 16S ribosomal RNA". It matches the Rfam family "Bacterial small subunit ribosomal RNA", at positions 524 to 776 of the family's 1533-position model. The record is from RNAcentral.
UACGGGGGGGGCAAGCGUUGUUCGGAAUUACUGGGCGUAAAGCGCGUGUAGGCGGCUUUUCAAGUCGGACGUGAAAGCCCCAGGCUUAACCUGGGAAUUGCGCUCGAUACUGUUGAGCUAGAGUGUGGAAGGGGCUACUGGAAUUCCGUGUGUAGCGGUGAAAUGCGUAGAUAUACGGAGGAACACCAGCGGCGAAGGCGGGUCUCUGGGCCGAUACUGACGCUGAGGAGCGAAAGCGUGGGGAGCGAACAGG